Solenopsis invicta (red fire ant) is the source of this 734-nucleotide long non-coding RNA. RefSeq lists it as uncharacterized. The record is from RefSeq and is a predicted model, not a curated record. NCBI's taxonomy places the organism in Eukaryota, Metazoa, Arthropoda, Insecta, Hymenoptera, Formicidae. The transcript is spliced from 3 exons.
CGCAGUGAUAUAUCUUGCGUAGGUCCGAGGCGAACUCACUCUUUGAUUUCGGCAACGCUAAUACCCCGGAGAUGAAAGAUUUCACGGGGAGGCGCCGAUUCUCGUAGUGGUCGACCAGAGCUCGCCAUAUACGCUUGAAAUUAGCACUGGUAGUGGGUGGGCGAUGCGCAACUUGCUCUGCUUCUCCUUUCAGGCUCGUCUUGAGGUGAUGCAGUUUUUGGACCGGUGACGCCAACGGAUUUUCCACGACGAGUAACACAAAGAGAUCAUGACACGUCGGCCAGUCCUCAUAUCGGCCCGAGAAUUGUGGAAUGAAGAUUCGGGGCAAUUUAAUGUGUGAAAAAGCGGUGUCGUUAAUUGUAAUAGCAGGUCGUCCUUGACGUACUUAUCCUCGUCGAGGUCCGCACCGUAGCUCAUAAUGAGCUGUUCGUGCUGGGUCUGGAAUCUGGCCCAGUAACCAUCGAGGGUCAGCAUUCGAGUUUCCAGCAGUCCCGCGAUGAUGUUAGCCGCGCCUGAUUUCAUCAUAUUUUUAUAAUCGCCGUCAAGAUGCACCGUAUCACGGAGUUUACCGCACUCAAGCACUACGCGGGAUCGGACCUCACGGAUCCGGCUCAAAAGAUCAGAAAUUAUGUACACGCGCGGAAAGUUGACGCCGAGGAAACGCUCGGUUAGCGCACAUUACGACGGCCAAAAAAUGUGAAGCAAGAAAAAGGAAUAAAGCUCACUUGCAAUAA